GUGCUCAUUUUGGCAGCACAUAGAGUAAAAUUAGGAAGAUCUAGAGAAGAUUAGCUAUGACUUCUGUACGAGGAUGAUAUGAAAACACGUGAAGGGUUCCAUAUUUAU
Molecule: small nuclear RNA, 108 nt
Organism: Ornithorhynchus anatinus (platypus)
Lineage: Eukaryota; Metazoa; Chordata; Mammalia; Monotremata; Ornithorhynchidae
Source: RefSeq, a predicted model, not a curated record